GGUUAAGCGACUAAGCGUACACGGUGGAUGCCCUGGCAGUCAGAGGCGAUGAAGGACGUGCUAAUCUGCGAAAAGCGUCGGUAAGGUGAUAUGAACCGUUAUAACCGGCGAUGUCCGAAUGGGGAAACCCAGUGUGAUUCGUCACACUAUCGUUAACUGAAUACAUAGGUUAACGAGGCGAACCGGGGGAACUGAAACAUCUAAGUACCCCGAGGAAAAGAAAUCAACCGAGAUUCCCCCAGUAGCGGCGAGCGAACGGGGAGCAGCCCAGAGUCUGAAUCAGCUUGUGUGUUAGUGGAACGGUCUGGAAAGUCCGACGGUACAGGGUGAUAGUCCCGUACACCAAAAUGCACAGGUUGUGAACUCGAAGAGUAGGGCGGGACACGUGGUAUCCUGUCUGAAUAUGGGGGGACCAUCCUCCAAGGCUAAAUACUCCUGACUGACCGAUAGUGAACCAGUACCGUGAGGGAAAGGCGAAAAGAACCCCGGCGAGGGGAGUGAAAAAGAACCUGAAACCGUGUACGUACAAGCAGUGGGAGCACCUUCGGGUGUGACUGCGUACCUUUUGUAUAAUGGGUCAGCGACUUAUAUUCUGUAGCAAGGUUAACCGUAUAGGGGAGCCGCAGGGAAACCGAGUCUUAACUGGGCGUUAAGUUGCAGGGUAUAGACCCGAAACCCGGUGAUCUAGCCAUGGGCAGGUUGAAGGUUGGGUAACACUAACUGGAGGACCGAACCGACUAAUGUUGAAAAAUUAGCGGAUGACUUGUGGCUGGGGGUGAAAGGCCAAUCAAACCGGGAGAUAGCUGGUUCUCCCCGAAAGCUAUUUAGGUAGCGCCUCGUGAACUCAUCUUCGGGGGUAGAGCACUGUUUCGGCUAGGGGGUCAUCCCGACUUACCAACCCGAUGCAAACUACGAAUACCGAAGAAUGUUAUCACGGGAGACACACGGCGGGUGCUAACGUCCGUCGUGAAGAGGGAAACAACCCAGACCGCCAGCUAAGGUCCCAAAGUCAUGGUUAAGUGGGAAACGAUGUGGGAAGGCACAGACAGCCAGGAUGUUGGCUUAGAAGCAGCCAUCAUUUAAAGAAAGCGUAAUAGCUCACUGGUCGAGUCGGCCUGCGCGGAAGAUGUAACGGGGCUAAACCAUGCACCGAAGCUGCGGCAGCGACACUAUGUGUUGUUGGGUAGGGGAGCGUUCUGUAAGCCUGCGAAGGUGUGCUGUGAGGCAUGCUGGAGGUAUCAGAAGUGCGAAUGCUGACAUAAGUAACGAUAAAGCGGGUGAAAAGCCCGCUCGCCGGAAGACCAAGGGUUCCUGUCCAACGUUAAUCGGGGCAGGGUGAGUCGACCCCUAAGGCGAGGCCGAAAGGCGUAGUCGAUGGGAAACAGGUUAAUAUUCCUGUACUUGGUGUUACUGCGAAGGGGGGACGGAGAAGGCUAUGUUAGCCGGGCGACGGUUGUCCCGGUUUAAGCAUGUAGGCUGAUUAUCCAGGCAAAUCCGGAUAAUCAAGGCUGAGGUGUGAUGACGAGGCACUACGGUGCUGAAGUAACAAAUGCCCUGCUUCCAGGAAAAGCCUCUAAGCAUCAGGUAACAUUAAAUCGUACCCCAAACCGACACAGGUGGUCAGGUAGAGAAUACCAAGGCGCUUGAGAGAACUCGGGUGAAGGAACUAGGCAAAAUGGUGCCGUAACUUCGGGAGAAGGCACGCUGGUGUGUAGGUGAAGCCCCUGCGGGUGGAGCUGAGACCAGUCGAAGAUACCAGCUGGCUGCAACUGUUUAUUAAAAACACAGCACUGUGCAAACACGAAAGUGGACGUAUACGGUGUGACGCCUGCCCGGUGCCGGAAGGUUAAUUGAUGGGGUUAUCCGUAAGGAGAAGCUCUUGAUCGAAGCCCCGGUAAACGGCGGCCGUAACUAUAACGGUCCUAAGGUAGCGAAAUUCCUUGUCGGGUAAGUUCCGACCUGCACGAAUGGCGUAAUGAUGGCCAGGCUGUCUCCACCCGAGACUCAGUGAAAUUGAACUCGCUGUGAAGAUGCAGUGUACCCGCGGCAAGACGGAAAGACCCCGUGAACCUUUACUAUAGCUUGACACUGAACAUUGAGCCUUGAUGUGUAGGAUAGGUGGGAGGCUUUGAAGCGUGGACGCCAGUCUGCGUGGAGCCAACCUUGAAAUACCACCCUUUAAUGUUUGAUGUUCUAACGUUGGCCCCUUACCGGGGUUGCGGACAGUGUCUGGUGGGUAGUUUGACUGGGGCGGUCUCCUCCCAAAGCGUAACGGAGGAGCACGAAGGUUAGCUAAUCCUGGUCGGACAUCAGGAGGUUAGUGCAAUGGCAUAAGCUAGCUUGACUGCGAGCGUGACGGCGCGAGCAGGUGCGAAAGCAGGUCAUAGUGAUCCGGUGGUUCUGAAUGGAAGGGCCAUCGCUCAACGGAUAAAAGGUACUCCGGGGAUAACAGGCUGAUACCGCCCAAGAGUUCAUAUCGACGGCGGUGUUUGGCACCUCGAUGUCGGCUCAUCACAUCCUGGGGCUGAAGUAGGUCCCAAGGGUAUGGCUGUUCGCCAUUUAAAGUGGUACGCGAGCUGGGUUUAGAACGUCGUGAGACAGUUCGGUCCCUAUCUGCCGUGGGCGCUGGAGAAUUGAGGGGGGCUGCUCCUAGUACGAGAGGACCGGAGUGGACGCAUCACUGGUGUUCGGGUUGUCAUGCCAAUGGCACUGCCCGGUAGCUAAAUGCGGAAGAGAUAAGUGCUGAAAGCAUCUAAGCACGAAACUUGCCCCGAGAUGAGUUCUCCCUGAGACUUUAAGUCUCCUGAAGGAACGUUGAAGACGACGACGUUGAUAGGCCGGGUGUGUAAGCGCAGCGAUGCGUUGAGCUAACCGGUACUAAUGAACCGUGAGGCUUAACCUU
Molecule: ribosomal RNA, 2902 nt
Filed under: Klebsiella pneumoniae
Lineage: Bacteria; Pseudomonadati; Pseudomonadota; Gammaproteobacteria; Enterobacterales; Enterobacteriaceae
Description: 23S ribosomal RNA
Rfam family: Bacterial large subunit ribosomal RNA
Source: RNAcentral